GGUACUGCCUGGUAGACAUGAGAUAGACAUGCAUACAUCAGUUGGUCUACAUGGCUACAGAACAUUGGGGAAAAGGAAUAAAAUGAGCUUUUGUCCUGUAGAAGCUAUGAGAGUCCAGAUUCUUUAAAGGGGCACUGAUGACAAAGGCACAGGCAAGCUAAUAAUUCCAAAAGGGAGGUCCAGCCAAUCAGGAUGAUGGGAAAUUUGGGCCCAAGAACCUCAUACAGAAUUUAGGCCCAUGUAUAUGUGAUAAGAGAUUUAAGCCUAGUCUACAAAAUUGAAUCCUGAAGAGUAUACAGCUCAUUUUCAGAUGUGGGCAUGUGCUGUCUGGACAAAGGUGGGAUGUCUUCAGCAAAGUCUAGAGGAAGGACAAGGACACUGAAGGGAGGGUCACAGAUAGGCACAGACUUCAUCUAUGUAAUAGACCCUGGAAUAAAAUAUGUUUCCUGCCCUCCAGCUACUUGCUGCAUGAACAGACAUUUUGUGCUACUAUAAACACACUUUUUAGGUAUUCAACUUUACAAGAGUCAAAAAUACUGUUUUAUGUUCUCCUUGAACUCUAUUUAGGCACCCAACCUCUCCUUCUUGCUAAAAUCUUGAAUGUCCUUGUUCAACCCUGAGUUUUGUUUUCCUUUGCAAACGAAUCAUUGUCCUCAUGUCCUCUUGGUAUUUUUACUCAGGAUUAUAAUGGCCAAGUUUAAAUCUGCCCCCACUGUGCAUAAAUAGAGAAUAAGAACUGAGUUAACAGGAUGUGUCUUCCAAGAAGGUUGUGGCAUAUUUCCAGGCAAAGGUCAAGCACAUACUUAAAGAGAUGACCUAGGAUACCUUACAGUACAGAACUUUAAAAAAGAAUCUGCUUGCUGCAUCAUAGGGGAGAGGAGACAGACCAGAGGAACAAAGAAAUUGGUACUUGAGCCAUUCUUCUCAAUCACACAUUCAAACACACAGAGAACAAGCAAAGGUCAUGUAAUCUCCAGGUGUGUGUUAGGAUGAGUUUCCUUAGAGGUGAAGGAACAACAUUUCAUGGGGUUUCACUAAAAAGACUUUGCAUAUCAGAAAGUUAAAAGUUUACAAAACUAUUUUGAAAUGUUGAUCUUUUUAGUGUAUUUUCUUGCAAUCUUUACAUCAAUCUUUAGAUUUAAAAACCAUUAUAAAUAUCCUAGUAAUAUGUCAGUGUCUAUACAAAAAUAGUGUAAAAUAAAUAAGUGCAUUUAUGGCUAGAAGCUAUAUGU
RNAcentral lists this long non-coding RNA (1232 nucleotides) under Oryctolagus cuniculus (rabbit). RNAcentral describes it as "lncRNA (ENSOCUG00000036476.1)". The record is from RNAcentral. Lineage: Eukaryota; Metazoa; Chordata; Mammalia; Lagomorpha; Leporidae.